AACGAACGCUGGCGGCAUGCCUAACACAUGCAAGUCGAACGAGACCUUCGGGCCUAGGGGCGCACGGCUGCGUGCCGAGUGGGAACCUGCACUUAGGUUCGGUAUCCCUCCCCGUAAGGUGUGCUAAUACCGGUUAAUCUCAUCGGACCUACGAUUUCUCGCCAUUGGAUGGGCCCGCGUUGGAUUCGCUAGUUGGUAGGGUAAUAGCCUACCAAUGCGUCGUUCCAUGGCUGGUCUGUGAGGAUGAUCAGCCACACUUGGACUGAGACACGGCCCAGACUCGUACGCAGGGCAGCAGUAGGGAAUAUAGGACGAUGGGCGAUAGCCUGAUACAGCAGUGCCGCGGGAGUGAUGAAGGCCUUAGGAUUGUAAAUCCCUUUUACACGGGAUGAUAAUGACGGUAACGGGUAAAGAAGCUCCGGCUAACUCCGUG
Molecule: ribosomal RNA, 433 nt
Filed under: uncultured bacterium
Lineage: Bacteria
Description: partial 16S ribosomal RNA
Rfam family: Bacterial small subunit ribosomal RNA
Source: RNAcentral